This is a long non-coding RNA of Chinchilla lanigera (long-tailed chinchilla), 1429 nucleotides long. RefSeq lists it as uncharacterized. The transcript is spliced from 4 exons. Lineage: Eukaryota; Metazoa; Chordata; Mammalia; Rodentia; Chinchillidae. The record is from RefSeq and is a predicted model, not a curated record.
GUUAGAAGUUUUACUCUGCCACAUCCUCUCCUUCCGUGGUGCUUUGUUAUAAGACCCAAAGGGAGUAGGACAAGCAACAAUGCACUGAAACUUCUAAAACUGUGUGUUAAAAUAAUUUUUUUCUCUUUAGAAGUUAGUUGUCACAUAUAUUCAUUAUAGCGAUGAAAACCUAAUAUACAUAGUAUUAAGAAGCCUUCAUUUCUUCGCAUGCAGGGGAUUACAACCUGAAACAAAUUACUUGUAAAAUGUGUUUAAAGACCAAUCAAACUCUUUGAGGUAUGAAACGACAGAAGGUUGUGUUCCGUAAAUCGAUAUGAAGAUUCCUCAAGGAGAAACUGAAAGUCCGCCUGACAUUUGCAAAGGAUCAGAGAUCCAUUCAGUGAAAGUUCUAGAAGAAGCACCAGAAUCUCCCGGUUCAUGGUCCACGUUAAGCAGAUGAGGUGAAGACUACUGCAUCUCCUGUCUUUUCACAGAAUCAGCUGCAGCCUCUUCUACUUUGCACAUGGUCAGGGUCACAGUGGAAACCCAAGAAAACCUGCAUUUUAUCUGAUGAGUCAUGAUAAUUCACUGUUGGCCUUUCUGAUUAUUUUCCCUGUCUAAUUUUAUCCUGGGAUAUUAUGAGGGCCAAUUGAGAGGGAUGAUGUGGGUGAAAAUUACAUUCUAAACUGCCGAGCAAGGAUAAUCCGCCACUGGUGAUGCUGGUGACUGAUCACGGACAGUUAAUGUUGGAAGAGCCCUUGGCGUGCAGUCUGCUUGGUUACACAGAUUGUCAAGGACCCAGAGGCCCAGACUGCUAUCAUAUGUUGUCCAACCCACGCAUUUAGUGACUUACUGGCUGCUGCCCUAAGUCCUUUUUCAGGUUCGCUUACUGUACGUAGUGGCAGAGCUGUCCCCAGGGUCUGGAGACUCCCUGACUCUCUGUGCUGUGCCAUUGUUUUUUCUCCAGGUUAAAAUGUUCUUUCAAUGUUGAGCAUGUAGGUUUGCCUAGGGAUGGGGACUCAAUCCCUUCUAAAAUGCGUCAUUUUGCCCUUGGUCUUUUCUCCUGGAGGUGGCAUGGGAAACAUGCCAACCCAUUUUCUGACUGGAGCUGCAGUGUGACAGGAGCUUAGGGGAAACUGCUGGGUCUUUCAUGGGGAGAUAGAAUCUAGAGAGCUGACUUGAACUGUCUUCGCUUAGAUACAAAGGAUUUUUCUAACGUAAUUGUAAGUAUUAGGAAGAAAACCAUUUCAUCAUUUGCCUCUAUCUCCUUUUACUCAUAAAUCAGUUAGAUCAAUAACUUUUUGAAAUGUGAAAACCUUUAUUUGGCAUCUAAUCAGAGAGAAAAUGGAAUAUUAUAACUUUUUUGGAGAAGUAGUACCAUGCUUUUUAAGUUUAAAAGAAGGGCAAGAACUGAAAUCUGGCCUCCUGACCUACUCUGGGGAUCUGACUA